UUCUCCAGCUAUAUCGACCAAGUCAACCAUUUUUUUUCCUUUUUCUUCAGAUCUAGCUGUUGCUACCACCACCUCACUCGAAAAGCUUGUUCCUUUUUACCGUAUUAACUUAUGUAAUUAUCUGAGCAUAUGCCAAAUGGUUUUUCCCUUCAAGAAUUCGACGGUGAUAACCAGUUGAGUUGAUACUAAUUACAUUAUUUGAGUCAAAUACAUCGGUCAACGCCAGCCACUAUGGAAAAUCCACAAAACAUAACCUUGUUCCUCGCCUUCUCUUUUUUUCAACAAAACCCAUUCAUUAAUUCAACAAAACAGAGCCUUGUUUUCCUUGCCUCUCUUUCUUCAACUAGAACAACUUACUCAAAUUUGAGUUCUUCAGUAGACCUCUUCCCCAAUUCUUGAGGAAUUGAAGUAUGCUUCUCUUCUUCAACGCCCAGUUGAGGAUUGGUGGUGUAUAACAAUAAGCAUAAUGUGGCAAAUUCUACAACUCCAUGAAUGUGCGUCUGUUGUUUGCUUUGAUCAAUAAAAGAAGAGAUUGCUUUGAUCAAUAAAAGAAGA
Molecule: long non-coding RNA, 555 nt
Filed under: Nicotiana benthamiana
Lineage: Eukaryota; Viridiplantae; Streptophyta; Magnoliopsida; Solanales; Solanaceae
Description: long non-coding RNA (NBEN_LNC010897)
Source: RNAcentral